Micropterus dolomieu (smallmouth bass) is the source of this 3691-nucleotide long non-coding RNA. RefSeq lists it as uncharacterized. The record is from RefSeq and is a predicted model, not a curated record. The transcript has 2 exons. Lineage: Eukaryota; Metazoa; Chordata; Actinopteri; Centrarchiformes; Centrarchidae.
UGAUGUCCCUGUGGGAAGUGGUUCUGUUCUUAUCUUUGUCACGCUAGCUAGGAGCCCCCGAGUCCCAGUCGUUGGUGGUUCAGAGGUUUCAAAAAUGCUCCCUUCACCUGACACCGAGUGGUCUUGCAAGUGAUCAACUGGUUCUGUCAGACUUUUGGCGUUUGUGGUCAACACAACAGCCUUCUCUUUAUUGUCCGAGCUUCCAUAAAAGGGGAUUUGGAAUGGUAGUGAGGGAAAGGAAGGGAGCUUUGGCAGAGACGGGGUCCACCAGUUAGAGCGUUGUCUAUUUUCAGGUGCGUUUUCUCUUGAUGGCGUCUGCCCCCAGAGAGCCUCUUCGUCAGCCACAGCCUGCCUGUGAAGUAGCAAAAAACAUCCGAAGCAGAAAGCCAAGGUCUGGAGGAGGCGAAGCAUGCUGUCGACAGUGGCGCACGGAUCGCUCACAUGUUGUUCUCCAUCCUCCUGCUCCCUCAGGCCAGUUCUCUCUACUCUAUCAAGUUCUUGCUGUUUUCUUCGGCGCGCACAAGAUCAAUCAGCCACUACCAUAAGAGUCCAAGGCGCAUUCUCACUGAUCAGGAGAGGAGGGACAUGACCUGCAGUCUUCCCCUCUGUUCCAGCCUGGAGGGAACCUGGAGGGAUGAAACCAACCUGGAUACACAGUCAGAUAUUGAGAUAUGAUGACUGACUACCGGGGGGGGGGGGUUAAACAUAGAGCUUCCCACACCCUCCCUACUUUUAGCAUUCUGACGGAACAUCAUGAAAAUCAGUUUCCGAUGAUGUGUAGUUGUUUUUAGAUGCCUGUGUUCUCAAGCUUGCUCCAGCCAACCCACUCACACGGUCACAUUUCAUGUAUGCAGAGAUAUGAUUGUAAAUGAAUUUGGAUCUGACUGUGCAUGUUAGUGCAAUUGUGUACUUGCCCACAUGUACUGUUCUGUAGUAGCAACACACACACCCACGCGUGCACACAGGCCUGGGCUUCUUCAAGACAUUUUGCCAGCAAUUUCUGAAGUCUUACAGAAAGGCCAAUGAACUAUUAAACGCUGCCUUUAAAGAGAAAGGGAAAUAUGUUUUGUUGAGAAGCCAAGUUUAUUUGAUUCUACAUAGAAACAUUUUAAUAAGUUGUGAAGCUUAGAGCAAAUUGAUUGCCUCUUUGUCAAUUUCAUGCAUAACUGAUCAAUUAUUUAGAUUGUGGGAAAUAUGUUUAAUUCAGUUUGGCUGGCAUUGUCACAUUUCAUGUCAAUAUCACUUUCACUUAGUGUGUGGUAAAAGGAAACUCAUGUACAUGUAGAGCGCAAAAUGCUUCCUUCACUUCACAGCAUGUUUUUAAGUUUCUGACUAUUUUGAAAGGAUCGGUUUUGGACAGAACUGAGUGUUCUUUCCAAUCACUCAGGCAAGUAGAAAACGUUCCAUUCUUUGUCUGAUUUGACUCAAGUGACAUAGCAGAUGGUAUUUUGUUGAUGGUUGACUCAUCUUGUCAUGGCACACAUGCAAACAGUUUCCUCAAAGAUAGAUGUUUUUUAUUUUAGGUCCUGCAGAAAAGUAGCAUAAAUAACAUAACAAUUAUCUAACGUUUAAAGCCCCAAUAAAGCAUGAUUUUGUUUUUCAAUCAUGGAAAUGUACAUGUACUCUCUUCAAGGUCAGGAUUUUCUAAGAUAAACUCUAUUCCUAGAUCUCACUGUAUCUCCCAAUACGUUAUACAUGUAAUGAUAUGGUGAACUUGUCAGCAGAGAUUAGCAUUUUUACACCCUCAGCAGAUACUUAGCAUUACUAGCAUUCAUUUGGCGUCCAAUAUUCACUUUUCUUUUAGCGUUGUUUUGCUCUCCAGCAACUCCUGAAGAAAAUAUCUGGCUCUUUAGUAAUUUCUUCAACUGUGUUCACCAGCUAGUUGCUAACUUUGUCUGUCUGGUGUUAUUGCUGGGCAGGUAGCUUUUAUUUUCUGUAGACAGAAAAGAGAGCGGUGGGAGUGAACAAAAACAUUAAAGUUGCGGGCCAAAAAAACCCCAAUGUGCUGAAAGACACUAAAACGCUCCACAGAGCUGAGUGGAGAUGCAAAGUUGGUAGAUAAUUCUCUGUGGAUUUGUUGUUAGUCAUGUGAUCCAUUCAUAAAGUAAAAACAUUGGUGAUAGCAGCAUUAAUAUGUAAACAAAACAUUUUUUGUUGGUAAUGUAGAACUAGUUUUUAGCUGUCAUAAACUAUCAAUGCCAGCUAACAAUCAAGCUAACAAAUUAAUAAUGUACUGUGCUAGCUACCAAUGAACCGCACAACAGCUUGUGCUUUACUAUCAUUCCAGAUUGGGCCUUUAACUUUUUUUGUCAGCACACGUCACCACAUCAAAUAUAUGCCAGUGAAGGCAUUGUCUGGUUUGACAGGCAGCAGAGCAAGUGGAAAGGAACUAUAAAAAGUGUCUGUGGGGAAUUUACAAGCCCCCUCUAUUAUUUUGCUGGCGUUUUGUCUCGCUGCUCCUGACAAAGAUGGGGCCUGCCACUGUAGUGUGGUCAAUAGAGCAGGGACGGACACAGCAAAAGAGAGGCAGAAAAGAAGGGCAGACAGUAAAAGACAAGGGCAAUAGAAGAGAGCGAGAGAGAGAGAGACAAAGACACCAUAUUGACAUACAGUUGUGCCAUUCUUAGUCCAGGAGAGUAAACCCUGCGGCAGUCUUCGUAAUGCUCAUUUUAGUUUGUUGCCAGAGCCUCUUUUAUUAACUCUGUAAACAGACUCCUGUCUUUCAAUUAGGUAUGUGUGUGUGUGUGUUCAUAAGAAGCCCCCACUCUCUCACUUCUCUCAGGACCAUCAACCAUCUUGAUCUCAAUCAGCCUCCAACCUGCUGUACCAUAUUUCUUCAUGUAAAUUUCUCAAUUUUAAAUUUAUCUGACGGCGGUGUUAUGGCUUUACAAGACCCUCUGUGAGAACUCUGCUCAUAAUAAGGCCGCCAUAGUAAAGCUAACAAGAGAGAAAAAGAUGAAGAGGGGAGUACAGUCUCUGAGAAUGAAAGUUAAAAAAAAGAAAGCGGUGUGUCACUCCUGAGUGACUGAAAUGGAUAGGCUCUACACUGAGGGGAGUCACAAAUGGAGACGAAUUUACUGCGGCCGAUGUCAUUACUAUUUAACAAACCUGGCGAGGCCUGAGGAUCAAUGAUACAGUCUAGGAUAAUGGAAUAAUUUACCUCCCUGCAAAUGGAUACUGUUGUGGGGGUUUUGUGAAUCUACUGCGUGGGUGCUGUGUAUAUUUAGCACUAGUUUUCACUCUUAUUUCCAUGGUUAUAUGUAGUUGCACAUGAAUUUGAGCGUAGAUUUACACGUGCAUCCUCCCACGUGUUGUUGGGUCCUGUAUUUUCGAUUUCAGCUCUUUAUCACAGGCUCUAUCUCCAAUCUAAGGAGUCAACUUAUAGCUUUUUCCUGUUGUCCUCUCCUGACUUUGACGCUACGCAGGGAUGUCAAUAUUGCACAGAUUCAAUCUGACUGGCCGCUCUAAGCCAGCAGGGAUUUAUCCUGCAUAAAGCAGCACAUUUGAAGGGCUUUAGAAAGUGUUAGAGAGCUUAACCUGGCAAACAAGUGGCUGUCUAUCCAUCUUUCAAUCAUUGUGGUUGUCAUUAUAGUCAUGGCAAAUUCUUGUGACAGGGAAAGACUGUGGAUGUAACUGUAGGUGUUUUAUGUCCUCAUUUCACCAACAAACAAUAAAAGUUUAUUAAAAAAUA